GGCGAGAUGGCCGAGCGGUCUAAGGCGCCAGACUAAGGAGCACCUCCAGUGUUAUGAUAUCUGGUCCGAAAGGGCGCGGGUUCGAAUCCCGCUUUCGUCA
Transfer RNA from Trametes pubescens, 100 nucleotides. It matches the Rfam family "tRNA". From Rfam's summary of the family: Transfer RNA (tRNA) molecules are approximately 80 nucleotides in length. Their secondary structure includes four short double-helical elements and three loops (D, anti-codon, and T loops). The record is from Rfam. NCBI's taxonomy places the organism in Eukaryota, Fungi, Basidiomycota, Agaricomycetes, Polyporales, Polyporaceae.